CCUUGACAUACUAAGAACUUUCCAGAGAUGGAUUGGUGCCUUCGGGAACUUAGAUACAGGUGCUGCAUGGCUGUCGUCAGCUCGUGUCGUGAGAUGUUGGGUUAAGUCCCGNAACGAGCGCAACCCUUUUCCUUAUUUGCCAGCGGGUCAUGCCGGGAACUUUAAGGAUACUGCCAGUGACAAACUGGAGGAAGGCGGGACGACGUCAAGUCAUCAUGGCCCUUACGGCCAGGGCUACACACGUGCUACAAUGGUCGGUACAAAGGGUUGCUACCUCGCGAGAGGAUGCUAAUCUCAAAAAGCCGAUCGUAGUCCGGAUCGCAGUCUGCAACUCGACUGCGUGAAGUCGGAAUCGCUAGUAAUCGCGGAUCAGAAUGCCGCGGUGAAUACGUUCCCGGGCCUUGUACACACCGCCCGUCACACCAUGGGAGUUUGUUGCACCAGAAGUAGGUAGUCUAACCGCAAGGAGGACGCUUACCACGGUGUGGCCGAUGACUGGGGUGAAGUCGUAACAAGGUAGGCGUAGAUGA
Molecule: ribosomal RNA, 530 nt
Filed under: uncultured bacterium
Lineage: Bacteria
Description: bacterial SSU rRNA
Rfam family: Bacterial small subunit ribosomal RNA
Source: RNAcentral